Molecule: ribosomal RNA, 448 nt
Filed under: Salmonella enterica subsp. enterica
Lineage: Bacteria; Pseudomonadati; Pseudomonadota; Gammaproteobacteria; Enterobacterales; Enterobacteriaceae
Description: partial 23S ribosomal RNA
Rfam family: Bacterial large subunit ribosomal RNA
Source: RNAcentral
GCCCAAGAGUUCAUAUCGACGGCGGAGUUUGGCACCUCGAUGUCGGCUCAUCACAUCCUGGGGCUGUAGCCGGUCCCAAGGGUAUGGCUGUUCGCCAUUUAAAGUGGUACGUGAGCUGGGUUUAAAACGUCGUGAGACAGUUUGGUCCCUAUCUGCAGUGGGCGUUGGAAGUUUGAGGGGGGCUGCUCCUAGUACGAGAGGACCGGAGUGGACGCAUCUCUGGUGUACCGGUUGUGACGCCAGUCGCAUCGCCGGGUAGCUAUAUGCGGAAAAGAUAAGCGCUGAAAGCAUCUAAGCGCGAAACUUGCCUCAAGAUGAGACUUCCCAGGGAACUUGAUUCCCCUGAAGGGUCGUUCGAGACCAGGACGUUGAUAGGUCGGGUGUGGAAGCGCAGUAAUGCGUUAAGCUAACCGAUACUAAUUGCCCGUGCGGCUUGAUCCUAUAAGUC